AUGCAUGAUCUUCUUCAUGAUUUGGCAGAGUCGCUCUCUAAAGAAGACUGUUUCAGAUUAGAAGAUGAUAAGGUGACAGAAAUACCAUGCACCGUCCGUCGUCUGUCUGUUCGUGUUGAGAGCAUGAAACAACACCAGCACAGUAUCUGCAAGCUACAUCAUUUGCGCACUGUUAUCUGCAUUGACCCACUUACAGAUGAUGUGAGUGAUGUUUUCAGUCAGGUACUUCAAAACUUGAAGAAGUUACGUGUACUCUAUUUGUGCUUCUACAAUAGUAACAAGCUACCCAAAUCUGUGGGUAAGCUGAAACACCUUCGGUAUUUAAACCUCAUUAAAACUUCCAUUGCCGAAUUGCCUGGAUCAUUAUGUGCUCUUUACCACCUACAGUUACUUCUGUUGAACCAUAAAGUUACGAGUUUGCCUCAGAAACUAUGUAAAUUAAGCAAGUUGCGGCAUCUUGAAGGGUAUCGUGAUCUGGGAUACAGGGUGUAUGAAGUAGCUCUGCCUCAAAUCCCUUAUAUAGGCAAGCUAACUUCGCUCCAGCAUGUUGAAGAUUUUUGUGUGCAAAAGCAGAAGGGGUAUGAGUUGCGGCAGCUCAGAGACAUGAAAGAGCUUGGUGGCAGUUUAAGAGUCAGAAAUGUCGAGAAUGUCACUGGAAAGAAUGAAGCCUUAGAGUCGAAGCUAUAUCAGAAAAGUCAUCUUGGAAGCUUGGCCCUUGUCUGGAGCUGCAAUAAUGGCAUGAAUGCAGAUGACAGUUUACAGUUGGAGAUUCUAGAAGGUUUGAUGCCACCGCCUCAACUGAAAGGCCUCGAGAUCGAGGGUUACAAAUCUGCCACAUAUCCAAGUUGGUUACUUGAGGGUUCGUAUUUUGAGAAUUUGGAAUCUUUUAAGCUUGCCGACUGCAGUGCCUUAGAAGGCCUGCCACUCAAUACCGAGCUCUUCAGGCAUUGCUCAAAACUAGAGCUCGAGAAUGUCUCGACUCUGAAAACGUUAUCGUGUCUUCCAGCAGCCCUCACAUGCUUAUCAAUUAGCAGUUGCCCACUGCUUAUAUUUAUUAGCAGUGAUGAGCUAGAACAGCAUGAUCAGAGGGAAAACAUCAUGGGAACAGACUACUUGGCAUCACAACUUGCUUCGAUAUGGAAGGUGGAUUCUGUAUUGGGAAUUAAGGAAGUAUUAUCGUCUGAACAUUCAUCUCUGAAGCAAAUGAUGGCAUUAAUGGAUGCUGACAUGUCACAUCUUCAAACCAUUGCAAGUGCUCUAGAAAGAGAGAACGGCGAGGUAAUGCUGAAAGAUGAUAUAAUUAAAGCAUGGAUAUGUUGCCACGAGCAGAGGCUGAGAUUCAUUUAUGGAAGAAGCAUCAGCUUGCCGUUGGUUCCACCGUCAGGUCUUUGCCAACUUCAUCUUUCUUCGUGCAGUGUUACAGAUGGGGCAUUAGCUGUUUGCCUUGGCGGCCUCACGUCACUGAGAAGUUUGUUCUUAGCACAGAUCAUGACUUUAACUACACUUCCGCAGCAAGUGGUCCUCCAACAUUUGACAAAGCUGGACUUUUUGUUCAUCAGAUAUUGCUGGUGCCUCAAGUCAUUAGGAGGCUUACGAGCUGCUACCUCUCUUUCAGAAGUUAGAUUGAUUUCCUGCCCUUCUUUAGACUUGGCACAUGGAGCAGGUUUAUUGCCGUUGUCUCUUGAGGAGCUCUGUAUAUAUGAGUGCAUGGUUGCAGAUAAUUUCUUCAGUAGUGACUUGCCGCACCUGAAAAGUCUUAGCAUGUAUGGCUGCAGAAGCUCCACUUCCUUGUCUAUCGGUCAUCUGACUUCCCUUGUAUCCUUAUCAGUGGGAGGUUUCCCUGAUCUGUGCUUUCUUGAAGGCUUGCCAUUCUUGCAACUUCACCACGUACAUUUGACAGAUGUCCCGAAGCUCGUUGCGAACUGCAUUUCACAGUUUCGGGUGCAGCAAUCACUCUAUGUUAGCAGCCUCGUGAUGCUCAACCACAUGCUCUGGGCUGAAGGUUUUACAGUUCCACCAUUCCUAUCUCUCGAAGGAUUCAAGGAAUCAUCCGUUUCGUUUGAAGAAUCUGCAAAAUUCACAUCCGUCAAGUGCCUUAGAUUAUGUGGGUGUGAAAUGAGGUCCCUACCAGGAAAUCUGAAGUGCUUCUCUAGUCUGAGGACACUCGAUAUCUAUGACUGCCCCAACAUAUCAUCUUUAUCAGAUCUGCCAUCCUCCAUCCAACAUAUAUGUGUUUGGCGUUGUGAACGCUUGAACGAGAGCUGCCAAGCGCCUGACGGAGAAAGCUGGCCAAAGAUUGCGCAUAUCCGCUGGAAGGAUUUCAGAUGA
RNAcentral lists this ribosomal RNA (2328 nucleotides) under Triticum aestivum (bread wheat). RNAcentral describes it as "partial small subunit ribosomal RNA". The record is from RNAcentral. Lineage: Eukaryota; Viridiplantae; Streptophyta; Magnoliopsida; Poales; Poaceae.